This 1125-nucleotide long non-coding RNA is filed under the name Heterocephalus glaber (naked mole-rat). Its description in RNAcentral is "lncRNA (ENSHGLG00100047668.1)". The record is from RNAcentral. Lineage: Eukaryota; Metazoa; Chordata; Mammalia; Rodentia; Bathyergidae.
UGACAUAGAAGCCAGCAUCAUCAGCUAUGAACAUGCAGAAUGAAGCAAGGGGAUUCAGCAGAAACAGUGAAGACCCUGAGAAUAAGGACAAGUGUUUGGUGGACAAAGCACCAGGAUCUGGAGUUACUAGCAACUAAAGGAGAAAGGCAUGAGGUCAAUAGAGGUAGAAAAAAAAAAAAGCCCAAGGGACUACAGAUGGUGGAGCCUGUUGAGAUGAGAGGAUGCACAAAUCCAAGGUCAAACCCAUGCAUGCAAGGAAGCACUCUGGAUUUCAUGGCCCAGAGCUUUCAUCUUACAAACCAAGUCAUUGUCCAACCUCCAACUCUUCCCUUCUGCCCAGUCAGAUCUUCCUUGCCUGAAGGAGUCUUGCUUUAAGACCUAAGCAGAUGACAGCUUCGUACCCAAGAGGUUUUCAAUCAAGAUAAAAUGUAUUUGAGGAGCUGUACUUAAGAAACCACAUCCAAGUAGCCUGCUUCAAUAUGUAGCCGACUUACAUGAGAACAUCCUGGAUUUUUAAGACAAUGAUGCAUCAAAGUGGGUCAGAAGAGAUUACUCUUUCUAAGAGAAAUUAGCUUCUAUGUCAUGAGGAUACCCAGGUAGCUGUGUGGACUCAUACAGUGAGGAACUGAGGCCAUCUGUCAAGAGCCAGAGAAGAAUGGAGGCCCCUGCCAGUGACUAUGAGAAUAAACCACUGUGGAGUUGCACAGUGCAGUCCCACUCAACCCUUUGGCUGACAGCAGGUCCCACUGAUGCCCUCACUGCAGCCUUCUGAGAAUCUCUGAGGCAGGAUGAGCCACCUAUGUCCCUUCUGAGUCACUGCCCCACAAACACUGUGAGAGAAUGAAUCAUUGCCGUCAAAAGUCAGAGUUUUGUGGUAAAUCAUUAUGCUGUAAUGGAUAACCAGUAUAGCUCUACUUUACUGGAAAAACAAAUUAGGGUAUUUUCCAUAUUUCUCUAUGAUCUAUAAUGGUUAAAAGUAAAUUAAAAUCUUAAGAAUUUGAUGGGACUUACAAAUCCAUUUGGAACAAGAAGUUUUGUUUGCUGGGUGAAUUUUGGAAGUAGAUCUUUGACACACUUAAAUUGUCUUUUGUCAGCUUCUUGAUAGAUUUAAAAUUUAUUUUGGCC